CGCCUUCCUGGGGCCGUGGCGGAGACCUGAUCCCGGCCUCUCCCACCCCUGUCCAGGCGAGGACGGUGUCCCUGGUGAAUCAUCACUGGUCCAGGAGGGGAGGAGACGGAGCCUGAGCUGCUGGGGGAGGGGGCUCGGGGAGGGAGGGGCCCGCGGGGGGCGCCAGGUCGGGGUCGGGUUUGCAGUCAUCCCCACAGUCUUGGCUCCGCGCACAGCUGCGCCGCCGGGAGGUUUCCGGUCACAGCACGUCUCUGGGCUUUUGGGUUCUUCCCUGGCCAGCCGUUCUCACAGCCGCCGCCCUUUCCUCCCUUGGCUGCUGCCCCAAGCGGGAGGGGAGGGAGGUCGUGUCCCCGGCGCUGGCUGGCUGGCCGAGGGGUGGGCGCUCUUAGUGACCCGCAGCGGGACCUCCCGGUGUAUUGGGUGCAGUUUGUGGGCUGUAUAACUGGAGUAUAAGGUAACCAGGAGGACCCAGGAGAAGGGUAGCUGUAGGUUUUUGUCUUUUUGUUUUGUUUUGACCUUGCCUGGGGCUUCUGGGAUCUUAAUUUCCUGACCAGGGAUUGAACCUGAGCCCCUUGCUUUGGAAAUUCCAAGUCUUAACCCCUUGGACCACCAGGGAAGUCUCCUGUAGCGGGUUUUGAAGGGGGUGUGACCUCAUGGUUUGUGAGCCUCAGCGGGGAGAAGGUUGGGGCCCUGAAAAAUGCAGGAUAUCUGGCCAGUGGAGAUGUGGGUUCCCCAGGCCGAGGAAGCAAGGUCAGAUAGGGGCACGGGCCUGCUGGGGUCCAGGACCGGAGGAGCGGGAGGCGCGCUGGAAAGGCCCCGCCCAUCCAGAGCCUGCAGCGUGACCCGCUGGUAGCCUUUCUGAGCCUCCAUGUCCUAAUCUGUAGGUGGGACAGCAGCUCUCUGUUUUGAAAAUUUACGAUGUACCUAAAACUAGAGCUGUUCCCAGCCUGGCGCUACUUGAUAACUUAGUCCUUUUCCCUCCUAGAAGGAGAAGAAAGUGAACUUAUGAGGCUUUGCCGGACACUUGGCAAACACAGCUAAGAGCCAAAUAGAGUUCAACAGAAUAGCUAAAUAUCUGAAAGAAGGCCACAGAACUGCCAGACUGGGUUACUGACGCCAGCCUAUGAGUGUCUUUGAAACAGUGCAAGAAGAAGAAAACCGAGAUCCUACUACCUUUGAUCCUCAUCACGGAUUCCUGACUGUGAGCCCUCAUAUAAGCCCCUAGUCUCCUCAUGAAGGGGGAAGGCACAGUUCUUGAGGCAUAAGCCUACUGUGUUCCCCUCUCUGCCAGCUGAGAAUUAAAGCCACCUUUCUAUUUCCUCCAAA
Bubalus bubalis (water buffalo) is the source of this 1326-nucleotide long non-coding RNA. RefSeq lists it as uncharacterized. NCBI's taxonomy places the organism in Eukaryota, Metazoa, Chordata, Mammalia, Artiodactyla, Bovidae. The record is from RefSeq and is a predicted model, not a curated record. The transcript is spliced from 2 exons.